GUGGGGAAUAUUGCGCAAUGGGCGAAAGCCUGACGCAGCGACGCCGCGUGAGGGAUGAAGGUUUUCGGAUCGUAAACCUCUGUCAGAAGGGAAGAAACUACAUUGUGCUAAUCAGCAGUGUACUGACGGUACCUUCAAAGGAAGCACCGGCUAACUCCGUGCCAGCAGCCGCGGUAAUACGGAGGGUGCAAGCGUUAAUCGGAAUUACUGGGCGUAAAGCGCACGUAGGCUGUAGUGUAAGUCAGGGGUGAAAUCCCACGGCUCAACCGUGGAACUGCCUUUGAUACUGCACAACUUGAAUCCGGGAGAGGGUGGCGGAAUUCCAGGUGUAGGAGUGAAAUCCGUAGAUAUCUGGAGGAACACCGGUGGCGAAGGCGGCCACCUGGACAGGUACUGACGCUGAGGCGCGAAAGCGUGGGGAGCAAACAGGAUUAGAAACCCUUGUAGUCC
Molecule: ribosomal RNA, 450 nt
Filed under: uncultured bacterium
Lineage: Bacteria
Description: partial 16S ribosomal RNA
Rfam family: Bacterial small subunit ribosomal RNA
Source: RNAcentral